Long non-coding RNA from Gouania willdenowi (blunt-snouted clingfish), 2427 nucleotides. Ensembl annotates it as signal-induced proliferation-associated 1. Lineage: Eukaryota; Metazoa; Chordata; Actinopteri; Blenniiformes; Gobiesocidae. The record is from Ensembl.
AUGCAGAGGAGCAACAGCGACGUGACCCUAGGAGACCUGGACUCGUGUGGGAAGGCGGGGGGGAAGGCUGUGCGGGCGGCAGGGGAGAAGGCGGGCGUGGAGGGCGACUCGGGCGUGCUUCUGCACAGAGAGUACGGCAGCCUGUCGUCACUAGAGAGGCAGAUUCAGGCCCGGGGGCCCAACGCGGACGAGCGGGGCCCCCUGAGUCCCAACGCGCUGCGCUUCAAGGACCCCUUCCUGCUGCUGGGGCUGCAGAGCAGCCUCCCCGAGCCCGACGGCUUCUUCAGAGGACUCAGCACCUCCACGGGGGACUCCCCCAAACCUGCUAAACCCCCCAAGCCUGAAAAUCUGGGUAAAAAGUCCAAACCCGUCCUCGCUCACGUUCCUCAACCAGGCUUGUAUGACAUCAUCGGGGGCGGAGCCUGGGUGAGGAACUUCGCCCACUAUGACGUCCAGAGCAUCCUUUUCGACCUGACCGAGGUAGCCACCAACAGGGACAGCAUCGGGAGGAAGAAGAACAUCACGUCGGGGGCGUCAGCUGCCUCUCAGCUCCACGGAAACGACAACGAGCUGCUGCUCAGCUGCCCGCACUUCCGUAACGAGACGGGAGGAGAGCAGCAGGGGGGGCUGAGCCGGUCCCAGGGGGGGAAGGGGAGGGGCCUCUGGUCCAGCCUGAGGACCCCCAACGAUGCUGUGUCUGUCCUGGAGGAGCCCAGAGAGAGUCACGUCCAGCAGCAGGGCAAGAGCAACUACUUCAUAGAGCAUGCAGACCUCGGCGCGCAUUAUUACCGCAAAUAUUUCUACAUGAAAGAACAUCAGAACUUCUUUGGAAUGGACGAUCGUCUCGGUCCCGUUGCCAUCAGUUUUCGGCGAGAGGAGAAAGAAGGAUCCAGUGGCGCUCAGUACAACUACAGAAUCAUCUUUCGCACGACAGAGAUGAAGACGCUGAGAGGUUCCAUCCUGGAGGAAUCUGUUCCGUCUGCAGCUCGUCACACGACUCCCAGAGGUCUUUCACCAAAGCGUCUGCUGGAGUUCAUCAUGCCUGAGCUGAACCUGCACUGCCUGCGUUUGGCCUCCAACUCUCCCAAAGUCAGAGACACUUUACUGAAACUGGACGAGCAGGGACUGAACUUCCAGAGAAAGGUGGGGGUGAUGUACUGCAGGGCGGGGCAGAGCUCUGAGGAGGACAUGUACAACAACGAGAGCUCAGGACCAGCGUUUGAGGAGUUUCUGGAUCUGCUCGGUGAACGAGUGCGACUGAAGGGAUGGGAGAAGUAUCGAGCACAGCUGGACAACAAGACGGACUCAACUGGAACACAUUCCCUCUACACGCGCUACCAGGACUACGAGAUAAUGUUUCAUGUGUCCACGAUGCUUCCCUACACGGCCAACAACACGCAGCAGCUGCUGAGGAAGCGACACAUCGGGAACGACAUCGUCACCAUCGUGUUCCAGGAGCCUGGAGCUCUUCCCUUCACACCAAAGUCCAUACGCUCACAUUUCCAACACGUCUUCAUCAUCGUCCAGGUUCAUGAGCCCUGCUCGGACAAUACAUAUUACAGGGUGGCUGUGACUCGCUCUAAAGACAUCCCAUUAUUCGGUCCUCUGUUCCCUAAGGGCGCUCGGUUCCCUCGCUCCGCCGCCUUCAGAGACUUCCUCCUCGCCAAGGCGGUAAACGCGGAAAACGCCGCUGAGAAGUCGGAGAAGUUCCGCUCCAUGGCAACUCGCACGCGCCAGGAAUACCUGAAGGACUUGGCGGAAAACUACGUGACCACCACGCCCAUUGACUCGUCCACCAAGUUCCCGCUGCUGUCGCUGGGCGGCAAGCGUAAAGACAAGCUGAAGGGCGCCAAGGGGGCGGAGCUUCACAGCGCGGGCGCCCUAGUGUGGGCGGUGAUGGUGCACGGCGAGCACACGCUGCCCUGUCUGCUGGGCGUGUCGGCAGAGUCGGUGGUGCUCAUCGAGAGGUACACGCGCAGGGUGGCGUUCAACUGCUCCUGUCGAGACGUGAUUGGCUGGAAGGCGGUGACGGAGCCCAAAGAGGGCGUGGCCUGCCUGGACAUCUAUUACGAGCGCGGAGCAUCUGUGUCCAUCACUGUGAUGGAGACGCAGGUGGAGGAUAUCAAAGAGGUGGUGCAGAGGCUCGAGCUGGUGACUCGAGGCUGCGAGGCGUUCGAGGUCACCCCUCUGCGUGACGGCGUGGGACAGCCAGGCUUCCUCAUGAACGACGAAGGCUUCGUGACGGAGCUGCAGCGGUUCUGCUACGCUGAGAGCGGCGGUCUGCAGCUGUGGGCGCGCGUGGUGCGACUCUGCGGGCAUUCGCUGGUUCACCUCAGCCUGGAGGAGAGAUCCAGGCUGCUGAGGACGGCCCACAAAGUCCACAUCACCGUCAUCCCACCGGACGAGAACGGAAAGCCUCGCAGGUGA